RNAcentral lists this transfer RNA (69 nucleotides) under uncultured Puniceicoccus sp. It matches the Rfam family "tRNA". Rfam says of the family: Transfer RNA (tRNA) molecules are approximately 80 nucleotides in length. Their secondary structure includes four short double-helical elements and three loops (D, anti-codon, and T loops). Further hydrogen bonds mediate the characteristic L-shaped molecular structure. tRNAs have two regions of fundamental functional importance: the anti-codon, which is responsible for specific mRNA codon recognition, and the 3' end, to which the tRNAs corresponding amino acid is attached (by aminoacyl-tRNA synthetases). tRNAs cope with the degeneracy of the genetic code in two manners: having more than one tRNA (with a specific anti-codon) for a particular amino acid; and 'wobble' base-pairing, i.e. permitting non-standard base-pairing at the 3rd anti-codon position. The record is from RNAcentral. RNAcentral also lists the same sequence under 1 other name. Lineage: Bacteria; Pseudomonadati; Verrucomicrobiota; Opitutia; Puniceicoccales; Puniceicoccaceae.
GAGAAUAGCUCAACUGGUAGAGCAACGGUCUCCAAAACCGUAGGCUGGGGGUUCGAGUCCCUCUUCUCC